Molecule: long non-coding RNA, 1196 nt
Filed under: Scophthalmus maximus (turbot)
Lineage: Eukaryota; Metazoa; Chordata; Actinopteri; Pleuronectiformes; Scophthalmidae
Description: lncRNA (ENSSMAG00000027742.1)
Source: RNAcentral
AAAAUACUCACAGGUGUGACGCCGUCAAGUCUCCUGCAGCAGGUGAGGAGGGGAAGGAAGCUGACUCAGACUGCAGAGGUGUGUGUGUGUGUGUGUGCGCGUGUCCAACGGUAAGUAAAAAGCUAUUCUGGAGAGGGGCCUUUACCUGUCAUGCAACGCUGAUACAGUCUUGCCCUGUAUUUAUUGCCUACUUAAUGGACUUGAUUGUAUUACUGAAGGUAAGGAGGGGAAGAGAGAGAAGAAGAAAAAAGAGAAAAAUCCAUUGCCAGCCAGAAGGUGCUUUCAGCAUCCUGCAAUUACCUUAUGUAAAUCCUGGCCUGGAAUGUUGAUCCACUGCUAUUUAAAAUGCAUUGAAUUUCCAUGGAAAAUGAUCCACUCCUGCCGCCCGAAGCUCAUUAAUAACGGCGACGAGCCGCGCUGACAUUUGGAAUACUUACACGCUUACUUAGCAUUGCCAUGCAUGUGAGAACACAGCCCGGCCAGCUACGACAGCAACAUUUGACGAAGAAGAAGAAGAAAAAAGAAAAAAAGAAUCUAAUUUGAAUUAGAGUGCACGGUGCAAAAUGAGUUAUUUCUGCAACAGGAACCAGUUCUUCUUCUUCUUCUUCUUCUUCUUCUCCUUCUUCUUCUUCUCCUCCUCGCACAUGUUGUGCUUGUGAGUGCUCACGCAAUCUUUGAUCAUGCAGGCAGAGGAGUGCAGAGGGUGUGCAGGCUUCCAUGUGUCGGCUGAAAUAUUCGCAUCACUGCCCUGGAUUUCUACCACCGCAGUAACAUGCUUGUACCUUAUCCCUGGUAGUUGUUGUUGUUGUUGUUGUUGUCAGAUGUAAAGGGGCCCUGUCGCUCUGAUGUCACUCCAGUGGCUUGCAGGGCCGAUGGUGAGACUGAAGCACGGCGGCCAACGUGGACGUCCGUCCUCCCGUCAGGCUGGCUGUUUGGAUUGGACGUCGAAAAUUCAGGGCCUUCUGAAGCUUCUCAACAGACGACGGAUUCAGAGGAAACUAAAAGCAGAGGACACACACACACUCGACUGGCCAAAAUGUCCCCACAACGAUGGCUUUGAACCAAAAUUGGCAAGUGUACACACACACACACACACACACACACACACAAGGAAGUGGAAGGAGUGUAAUCGUUCAGUGUGUGCGGCCCACAGCGAGCAGCCUUGCUCAGCACUCGCUCCCCCUCGUGCUUCUUAA